GGGCAAACAAAAAGUGACGAGCAACAAGGCUUGGCCGAUGAUGCUGGUGUGGAGUCUGCUGCAACAACUGGACCGAUUAAGCACACCAAUGAAGAUGACACGAAGGCUCCUUACUCGGUACGGUCCAACUUUUUCAUACAUGCCUGCUCAUGAAAUAAGUGAAACAAGGUGCAUACAAUUAAGGACACCACAAUUAUCUCUAUGAAUAAUCAAUAGUGUGGAGUUACUCACAAUAAUCUAUGCAGCAUUUCUUAGCUAGAUUUCUUAGAAGGAUUUCAGGCUAUUUUGCUCAUAUUUUAGAAAACUGAUCAUGUGUGAUGGCCCAUCUGUCUUGCAAAAUAGACUUGAACUGGUCACGUCAGUUCCAAUCUGCAUCUCUUUUCAUCUUGUAGGUUACCACGCGGAUGCUCUUUGGACUACGAUAUGGACAUGAAGGCAUUUGUUUUAGUGCCAAAUAUUACUUACUAAUGCCCGC
RNAcentral lists this long non-coding RNA (475 nucleotides) under Hordeum vulgare. RNAcentral's name for it is "long non-coding RNA (HVUL_LNC003586)". The record is from RNAcentral. Lineage: Eukaryota; Viridiplantae; Streptophyta; Magnoliopsida; Poales; Poaceae.